Lynx canadensis (Canada lynx) is the source of this 1341-nucleotide long non-coding RNA. RefSeq lists it as uncharacterized. The transcript is spliced from 7 exons. NCBI's taxonomy places the organism in Eukaryota, Metazoa, Chordata, Mammalia, Carnivora, Felidae. The record is from RefSeq and is a predicted model, not a curated record.
ACUCAUGACCCUGAGAUUAAGACCUGAGCUGAGAUCAAGAGUCAGACGCUUAACUGACUGAACCACCCAGGUGUCCCCACAUUCAAUCCUGUCUUCUAGUCUCCAUGAUGGAUGGCCUGAGACAGUGACCUGCCAGUGUUUGCCUGUUCCUUCUCCUACAUUUCCUUCAUCGCUCUCCAAGGUGCCUUAGGAUUAGCUCUUAGGAGGAAAAUACCUAAGAAGAGGUGAUUAAUCACUGUCUGAAAAGUGCUUUGAGAUCCUCUGAAGAAAGGAACAGUUAAACCAGUGUAAAGUGUCCAGUGUUCCUGGCUACUCUGGAGCUAUCAGCAGCUCAGCCAAACUGAAGGAUAGCCUCUAAAAUUGUAUCAGCUUCAGGCCCCACAAAAUCUGGAUGUGCUCCUGGUCCCAACACAGUUGGUUGACAAACACCCUCCUGUCCCCAAUCCUGCCCGGCCACCUGCGCUUCUCCUAUAAGGCUCUGAAACCACACUCACUCUCAGAUAAAGACUAACCUUGCAGUUAAAGCCCAGUAGGAGCCAACUCAGAAGAAGGCAGACACCAGAGAGGACCCAGGCGGCCGCCAGAGGUGCAGCAGAGUCGGGGCUCUCAAAGAGGCCACACCGCUGUGGAUCACACUAAAGAGAGGCAGGCCUGCUUUGGAUAAAGUCUCAGCUCUUGAGCCGUGAAGCCCAGGCAGGCAGGCACAUCGGCAGAACCCCAGAAGACUCCAUGCCCUGUGAUAAGGACCAGAGAGGGGGUCACCGCACCAGAACCCUGCCAUUAAGCUCCCAGGGUUCCCACCAGCUUGCCACCAGGAGAAGCUGGAGAGUGACACCAACAUCUACAGUGUGUUUCUUAUGGCUCAGCUGGCAGAGGCCCUGGGGGACUUCCAAGGCAUCUGGGAGCUAAAUGGGAUACCAGAGUUCCAGAGGUUCCUGUGAAGGCCCGAAACGGGCAGAAGAACAUCAAAGGCUUCUCAAGUAAGAUGAUUAAUCAAAUAGAUGUCUCAAAAGGUGCCUUUUCCUACUGAUAAGAGCUAGACACUGGCGAGGACACCUCAAGCUCUUUCAAGAGAAAAAUAAGCCCAUGUUGUUGUGGGAAGCUAUGGAAGGAUUGGCUUUUCGGCACACUUGAUACCUACUGUUCCCACACAAGUCCGAGCUUCCCAGACUCACCACAACCGCUGUCAAAGCCUCUACCGGGUCUCUGCUAUAUCCAGCCUCCCCCCCACAUUCUCUGCACAGCUGCCAUAGUCCUCUUUUAAAGAGGGAAAGUGAGGGGCGCCCGGGGGGCUCGGUCGGUUGAGCAUCCCACUCUUGUUUUCAGCUCAGGUCAUAAUCU